RNAcentral lists this ribosomal RNA (254 nucleotides) under uncultured bacterium. Its description in RNAcentral is "partial 16S ribosomal RNA". It matches the Rfam family "Bacterial small subunit ribosomal RNA", at positions 524 to 776 of the family's 1533-position model. The record is from RNAcentral.
UACGUAGGGGCCAAGCGUUGUCCGGAUUUAUUGGGCGUAAAGAGCUCGUAGGCGGUUCGAUAAGUCGGACGUGAAAUCUCCACGCUCAACGUGGAGGGGCCGUUCGAUACUGUCGUGACUCGAGUCCGGUAGGGGAGUGUGGAAUUCCCGGUGUAGCGGUGAAAUGCGCAGAGAUCGGGAGGAACACCUGCGGCGAAGGCGGGUAGCUGGGCCGACACUGACGCUGAUGCGCGAAAGCCAGGGGAGCGAACGGG